Molecule: long non-coding RNA, 861 nt
Organism: Trematomus bernacchii (emerald rockcod)
Lineage: Eukaryota; Metazoa; Chordata; Actinopteri; Perciformes; Nototheniidae
Exons: 4
Source: RefSeq, a predicted model, not a curated record
GGAAAAUUCAUAACGACCUAAAGUUGAGGACAUUUCUCUCCAGAGUCUGCUUUGCGUCUCAAACAGAUCAAAUCAGCAUGACGUCGGGCUACAGAACGAGAUUGUGAGGGGCUCUGUUUCUGUCUUUGGUUAUCUAGCUGUAUGAGUUUUAAAUACAGCAUAAAGCUAGAUAACCGAAAGUAGAAACGACUUCCAUAACGUUGAGUUUAUUCCCGAAAAAAAGAGGACUCCUCAGGCUUUCAACUCAUAAAGACUUCCGAUUAACAUCAUUGAAUGAACGCUGUUUCCUGAAAAGAGGGCAAACCAUCGUUAAAAGAAAACGAGGAGAGAGAAAAAACGGUUGGGCCGGAAUUGCCACCUCCUCCUCUCCCCUCCCCCACUCUCACCCUUUUUGCCCAAGAGCCUCUAAUGCCAUCUGCACUGCCAACGGGGGACACUUUGCCCGUGCCAGGAGGCGGACAAAGAGCCUGCCGGAUCCCUGGAGUAUGGGCGUGCUCAGAGGAGCCAUCUUAAGAAACGUUGCCGCGAAACCUAAAAUGGCUGGGCUGGCAUACGAGGAUGGGACAGGACCUGCACGCCUUUCUUUAUGAACCUGCUGUUGGACAUUGUGGACCAAAUUCAAAGAUGACGUCAGCAGAGACACAAUAUGAUUUCAGAUAUUCAGCCGCCCAAAGGGGAGAGUCUUACGAGAUGUUAAAUAACUGUAUGCCUAAAAUGCACAACUAAUGCUUGCUAUGCAUAUAAAUACCAUGAUUUCAUGUCUGUCAACUCAUCAUGAUUAAUGAAAUGAUAUUCACACAUUCUUGUCAUUUUAAAUGGUUUAUUGUUUGUAUGAUUUUGAAUAAAAAUAAUGAACAUAUA